UUGAAAGGGAAACGAUUGAAGUCAGUCGUGCUGGCGCGAAAUCAACCUUCCCGUCUUGAGAUCACAUGGCGUGGCGAGCCUCAAAACCGUCACGAAGCGUGAACUCUCUGUGAAAUGGAGCACUUUCGUGUCCGCUGGUUAACAUCAAUUUCGAACGUCAUAAAAAGGCUGGAGGGAUGUGGCUCCUUCGGGAGUGUUAUAACCUUUAGCGGAAUGUGGUGUUCGGGAUUGAGGAUUGCAACGAAUACCUUUAGGGCUGUUCCACCUGGCCUCUCUUUGGUAUCCUGGUGACGACAGCUUGCUGACGUCGUUAGGAUUCGCCUUUGAACAGGUUAGAGUGUGAGCAAAUUCGUUAAGGAUGUUGACGUA
RNAcentral lists this ribosomal RNA (369 nucleotides) under uncultured Glomeromycotina. RNAcentral describes it as "LSU rRNA". Lineage: Eukaryota; Fungi; Glomeromycota. The record is from RNAcentral.